Molecule: ribosomal RNA, 450 nt
Filed under: uncultured bacterium
Lineage: Bacteria
Description: partial 16S ribosomal RNA
Rfam family: Bacterial small subunit ribosomal RNA
Source: RNAcentral
UAGGGAAUCUUCCACAAUGGACGCAAGUCUGAUGGAGCAACGCCGCGUGAGUGAAGAAGGUCUUCGGAUCGUAAAGCUCUGUUGUUGGUGAAGAAGGAUAGAGGCAGUAACUGGUCUUUAUUUGACGGUAAUCAACCAGAAAGUCACGGCUAACUACGUGCCAGCAGCCGCGGUAAUACGUAGGUGGCAAGCGUUGUCCGGAUUUAUUGGGCGUAAAGCGAGCGCAGGCGGAAUGAUAAGUCUGAUGUGAAAGCCCACGGCUCAACCGUGGAACUGCAUCGGAAACUGUCAUUCUUGAGUGCGGAAGAGGAGAGUGGAACUCCAUGUGUAGCGGUGGAAUGCGUAGAUAUAUGGAAGAACACCAGUGGCGAAGGCGGCUCUCUGGUCUGCAACUGACGCUGAGGCUCGAAAGCAUGGGUAGCGAACAGGAUUAGAUACCCUGGUAGUCCA